Molecule: ribosomal RNA, 446 nt
Filed under: uncultured bacterium
Lineage: Bacteria
Description: partial 16S ribosomal RNA
Rfam family: Bacterial small subunit ribosomal RNA
Source: RNAcentral
CCUACGGGUGGCAGCAGUCGAGAAUCAUUCACAAUGGGGGAAACCCUGAUGGUGCGACGCCGCGUGGGGGAAUGAAGGUCUUCGGAUUGUAAACCCCUGUCAUGUGGGAGCAAAUUAAAAAGAUAGUACCACAAGAGGAAGAGACGGCUAACUCUGUGCCAGCAGCCGCGGUAAUACAGAGGUCUCAAGCGUUGUUCGGAAUCACUGGGCGUAAAGCGUGCGUAGGCUGUUUCGUAAGUCGUGUGUGAACGGUGCGGGCUCAACCCGCGGACGGCACAUGAUACUGCGAGACUAGAGUAAUGGAGGGGGAACCGGAAUUCUCGGUGUAGCAGUGAAAUGCGUAGAUAUCGAGAGGAACACUCGUGGCGAAGGCGGGUUCCUGGACAUUAACUGACGCUGAGGCACGAAGGCCAGGGGAGCGAAAGGGAUUAGAUACCCGUGUAGUC